UGGCAGGAAAGGGUGGGGGAGAAAAGAACGAGAGGAUAUAUCAAGACAGGAAGGAAAAGGAGGGUUAGCAAAAGAGCUGAGGUGCCUGCAUGACGCAUGAAAACGGGAGACGGAGGGAGGAAUAGAAGUAAGAGGGAAAGAGAAUGAUGGAGCUACUGACCCAGGAGGGAGAGAAGGAGAGAUGUGGGGAAAGGACACAGAAGAGAUGCGGAUCACUGGGGCACCCAGUGAGAGCCAAGCCGGGAUGUGGGGCUCGAUGGAGAAUGACAGGUGGCCGGCUCUACAUGCAUGGAAUCCAGCCAGGCACAGCCCAAAGACGUUAAAUGGGUCCCCCUUCCAAUGGUAUCACCACCCGUGGGAAGGGCCAAGGGAGUCAGCUGCAUAUUGAGCGAGGCGGCGGCCAAAAGUAGCGACCUUGGCGGGCUGAUCUACGGCUGAAGAAGCUGGCUCUAGGGACUUGGAAUCUCACUUUUCAGGCAGGGAAGUGGAAUGACAUUGUGUGUAAGGUUGUAAAGCUCAGACUAGAUAGUCGGGCUUGCCUCGACACACAGCUUGGGCCCUGGUACCAGUCCUUAAAAGAGGGGUUGCACUCUCUUCCUCUCUAGUGUUACCCCAGAUGAAAGGCACCGAACAGCUGUGGGCAUACAAUACUUACUGCAACCUGGUACCUGUAUGUUCACCCUGGUAGACGAGAGCGUAGUCUCCCUCCACCUUAGGGAGGGGGGACAGGUUCUCACUUUAGCCAGCUCAGAGUACACAGCCUUUUUUGAGUCCUUAAAGGCGAUGCUGGAGAGUACUCCCACUGGGGACUUCUUCAUCCUGCUGGGGAUCUUCAAUGCUCACAUGGCCAAUGUCAACGAGACCUGGAAGGGCAUGAUAGGGAGGAAAGCCUCCCCAACUAGAGGCCGAAGGGUGUCUGCUAUUGGACUUCUGUGCUUGUCCCGGAUUGUCCAUCAUGAACACCAUGUAUAACUAUAAGGAUGUCCAUUUGUGCACUUGGCACAAUAACAUCCUAAGCUACAGUUUGUGGCAGUGUCAUCAGACUAGUGUCUACAUGUCUUGACCACUUAGGGGAAGAGAGGGGAGAGCGCUCUACUGAUCAUCACCUGGUGGUGUGUUUGCGACGACGGUGGGGAAAGAUGGUGGUCCAACGAAGACAUUGAGGAGGUCUGGUUUGGUGGCCUCAGUAUUACAUGUCUGCUUUGAGCAGAUGGUGUGGUUCUGUUGGCUUUAUCACGGUGCAAUAUGCAACGCUCGCUGGAGCAGUUCAUAGCUGAGUGUGAAGUGCUUGGCAUGAGAAUCAGCACCUCCAAAUCUGAAGCCAUUGUCCGCUGUCUGAAAAGGGUGGAGUGCCCUCUCCAGGUUUGGGAUGACAUCCUGCCCCAAGUGGAGGAGUUCGUGUAUCUUGGGGUCUUGUUAAAAAGUGACGAAAAAAUGGAGUGGGGGAUUGACAGGCCCAUUGGUUCAGCAUCUGCAAUGAUGGGGACUCUGCAUCGGGCUGUCUUGGUGAAGAAGUUGCUGACCCAAAAGGCGAAGCUAUAUAUUUACCGGUCAAUCUUUGUUUCCAUCCUCACCUAUGGUCACGAGCCGUGGGUCAUGACUCAAAGAACAAGAUCAAACAAAGAAAAUGAGUUUGCUCCACGGGGUGUAGUGACUCUUUUCUUUAGAGAUAAAGGUGGGAAGCUAGGUCAUCUGUGAGGGGCUCAGAGUAACGCCGCAUUGAGAGGAGCCAAAUAAUGUGGCUCAGGCAUCUGGCAAGGAUGCUUCCUAGACACCUCCCUGGUAAUGUGCUCCUGGAACGUCCCACUGAAAGGAGGCCCAGGAGACGACCCAGGACACGCUGGAGAGACUAUGCCUCCUGGCUGGCCUGGGAACCCCUGGAAGAGCAGUAUAGGGUGGCUGAGGAGAAGAAAGUCUGGGCUUCCCUUCAAAAGCUGACCCUGGAUAUGUGGAAGAUGGAUGGAUUGGAUAUGUGGACGAUGGAUGGAUGGAUGGAUGGACAGACGGACGGCCAAUCAGCUUGCUCUGAUGGAUCAUCUCCUAUGCUGCUCACAGCCCACCAGUGUAGAUCUGUUGGACACAAUCCUAUGGAGAGGCAUUUCAGUCACCUCAUGCUCCGACAUUUCCCAGCAGCCCUGCACUCCCAGGUCUCUUGUCUCCUUCAGAACAAACUGCAUCGCCAGCUUUGGGUUUGGAGCAACAUCGACUAGCAGCUCCACAUGACGGUCCGAAAAGAGACACUGGCGGCCAAAGUCACUGCGGAGCUUCACAUAUUCAUGAACAAUCUCCAUCCCGCUGAGAGAAGACUCCAAAGAAGGUCAGAAAGGUAAUAAUGAUAGCACUGUCUUGUGACUGCAGAUAUGGGAAUGAGAUUAUUUUA
Molecule: long non-coding RNA, 2380 nt
Organism: Phyllopteryx taeniolatus (common seadragon)
Lineage: Eukaryota; Metazoa; Chordata; Actinopteri; Syngnathiformes; Syngnathidae
Exons: 3
Source: RefSeq, a predicted model, not a curated record